AUUGAACGCUGGCGGCAGGCCUAACACAUGCAAGUCGAGCGGAUGAAGGGAGCUUGCUCCUGGAUUCAGCGGCGGACGGGUGAGUAAUGCCUAGGAAUCUGCCCGGUAGUGGGGGAUAACGUCCGGAAACGGGCGCUAAUACCGCAUACGUCCUGAGGGAGAAAGUGGGGGAUCUUCGGACCUCACGCUAUCAGAUGAGCCUAGGUCGGAUUAGCUAGUUGGUGGGGUAAAGGCCUACCAAGGCGACGAUCCGUAACUGGUCUGAGAGGAUGAUCAGUCACACUGGGACUGAGACACGGUCCAGACUCCUACGGGAGGCAGCAGUGGGGAAUAUUGGACAAUGGGCGAAAGCCUGAUCCAGCCAUGCCGCGUGUGUGAAGAAGGUCUUCGGAUUGUAAAGCACUUUAAGUUGGGAGGAAGGGCAGUAAGUUAAUACCUUGCUGUUUUGACGUUACCAACAGAAUAAGCACCGGCUAACUUCGUG
RNAcentral lists this ribosomal RNA (484 nucleotides) under uncultured bacterium. Its description in RNAcentral is "partial 16S ribosomal RNA". It matches the Rfam family "Bacterial small subunit ribosomal RNA", at positions 30 to 507 of the family's 1533-position model. The record is from RNAcentral.